This is a non-coding RNA of Tinamus guttatus (white-throated tinamou), 277 nucleotides long. NCBI's taxonomy places the organism in Eukaryota, Metazoa, Chordata, Aves, Tinamiformes, Tinamidae. The record is from RefSeq and is a predicted model, not a curated record.
AAUCUAGAGAAUGCUGAAGAAGCAGCAGAACAGUUCAAGUUAAUCCAAGCAGCGUAUGAUGUUCUCAGUGACCCCCAGGAAAGAGCUUGGUAUGAUAAUCAUAGAGAAGCUCUUCUGAAAGGAGGAGUUGAUGGUGACUAUCAGGAUGAUAGUUUAGAUCUGCUGCGCUAUUUCACUGUUAGCUGCUACUCUGGAUUCGGAGAUGAUGAAAAGGGAUUCUUUUCAGUCUAUCGACAAGUUUUUGAAAAGAUUGCAAAAGAAGAGAUGGAAUAUAUGA